RNAcentral lists this ribosomal RNA (254 nucleotides) under uncultured bacterium. RNAcentral's name for it is "partial 16S ribosomal RNA". It matches the Rfam family "Bacterial small subunit ribosomal RNA", at positions 524 to 776 of the family's 1533-position model. The record is from RNAcentral.
UACGAAGGGGGCUAGCGUUGCUCGGAAUUACUGGGCGUAAAGCGCACGUAGGCGGCUUUCUAAGUCGGGGGUGAAAUCCUGGAGCUCAACUCCAGAACUGCCUUCGAUACUGGAGAGCUCGAGUCCGGGAGAGGUGAGUGGAACUGCGAGUGUAGAGGUGAAAUUCGUAGAUAUUCGCAAGAACACCAGUGGCGAAGGCGGCUCACUGGAUCGGUACUGACGCUGAGGUGCGAAAGCGUGGGGGAGCAAACAGG